This is a long non-coding RNA of Silurus meridionalis, 726 nucleotides long. RefSeq lists it as uncharacterized. NCBI's taxonomy places the organism in Eukaryota, Metazoa, Chordata, Actinopteri, Siluriformes, Siluridae. The record is from RefSeq and is a predicted model, not a curated record. The transcript is spliced from 3 exons.
GUAUUAACCGGAGAAGGAAGAGUCUUUCAAACUCCUCCUUAUCUCCAAAAAAGGCUGGAAAAAAAGAUUAAACUACACACUGGAAAUUCUUUUUCAUAGAAUAAGUUGAGUAAAAAGAAAUAUUUACAGGAGGAAGAACUGGAGUUACAGAAAACCAUUUCACAUCCUCGAGGUGAGGAGGCAGAAGACAGAAGCUCCGCGUCUUCGGAAAUAAACAAACACCAGCUGAAAGGACGAUGGAACAGUUGUGAGAUAUCGAUGAAAAGUCUGGUGUUGUUAUGAUUUACAAGAGACACCGAACAAAUAUUAAUUUUCGGACUUUCUGUUCUAAUAAAUCUGCUCACCUGAAGAUCAGAUCUCCCAAGGCUUUACCUUUCAAACUCCAACCAGAGAAUUGGCCGUGAUGUUCCUGCAGCACACUGGAACGGGAUCGACAUGUCUGUGUAAUGAGGUAGUGUGAGGAUCGGCUGAGGCUGAAUGAGGUGUCACAUUUUCUGUAACAAAAAACCCACCGGACUUCAGGCGUUCAGCGACUCUACACAGGACUUACAGCCGAGUCGUAAAAACGACACUUACAGUUACUUUGGGAUGUAAAAAUCCCAAAAAUGAUGUUAAACUCUGCGUAUUAAGAUAAACUAUAUGAUUAAAAAGUAUUGGGACACCCGACUUUUCCACCCAGAUGUGUUUCUUCCACAAACCUGGAGACACACAAUUGUUUCAUAUUUG